RNAcentral lists this ribosomal RNA (892 nucleotides) under uncultured eukaryote. RNAcentral describes it as "eukaryotic LSU rRNA". The stretch from base 1 to 243 matches the Rfam family "Eukaryotic small subunit ribosomal RNA", at positions 1593 to 1831 of the family's 1831-position model. The record is from RNAcentral.
UUGCUCUUCAACGAGGAAUUCCUAGUAAGCGCGAGUCAUCAGCUCGCGUUGACUACGUCCCUGCCCUUUGUACACACCGCCCGUCGCUCCUACCGAUUGAAUGGUCCGGUGAAGUGUUCGGAUCGAGGCGACGUGGGCGGUUCGCCGCCCGCGACGUCGCGAGAAGUCCACUGAACCUUAUCAUUUAGAGGAAGGAGAAGUCGUAACAAGGUUUCCGUAGGUGAACCUGCGGAAGGAUCAUUGUCGAGACCCACUGACGAGGACGACCGUGAAUGCGUCAACGAUUGCUCGUCGGGCUCGUCCCGACAACACCCCCGAAUGUCGGUCCGCCCUCGGGCGGGACGACCGAGGGGAUGAACUACCAACCCCGGCGCGGAUAGCGCCAAGGAACACGAACAUCGAAGUCGGAGGGCCUCGCUGCAUGCAGGAGGCUACAAUUCCGACGGUGACCCCACUGGACGACUCUCGGCAACGGAUAUCUCGGCUCUCGCAUCGAUGAAGAACGUAGCGAAAUGCGAUACCUGGUGUGAAUUGCAGAAUCCCGUGAACCAUCGAGUCUUUGAACGCAAGUUGCGCCCGAGGCCAUCCGGCUAAGGGCACGCCUGCCUGGGCGUCACGCUUUCGACGCUUCGUCGUUGCCCCCUCGGGGGGNUGUGGGCGAACGUGGAGGAUGGCCCCCCGUGCCGGAAAGGUGCGGUUGGCCGAAGAGCGGGCCGUCGGUGGUUGUCGAACACGACGCGUGGUGGAUGCCUUGUGCGAGCCGUACGUCGUGCCUUCGGGACCCGGGCGAGGCCUCGAGGACCCAAGUCGUGGUGCGAGUCGAUGCCACGGACCGCGACCCCAGGUCAGGUGGGGCUACCCGCUGAGUUUAAGCAUAUCAAUAAGCGGAGGA